CAGCAGCCGCGGGAAAACGAAGGGGGCUAGCGUUGCUCGGAAUGACUGGGCGUAAAGGGCGCGUAGGCGGUUUAUACAGUCAGGUGUGAAAUUCCUGGGCUCAACCUGGGGACUGCAUUUGAUACGUAUGGACUUGAGUGGAGAAGAGGGUCGUGGAAUUUCCAGUGUAGAGGUGAAAUUCGUAGAUAUUGGAAAGAACACCGGUGGCGAAGGCGGCGACCUGGUCUUUAACUGACGCUGAGGCGCGAAAGCGUGGGGAGCAAACAGGAUUAGAUACCCCAGUAGUCCCUGUCUCUUAUAC
RNAcentral lists this ribosomal RNA (301 nucleotides) under uncultured bacterium. RNAcentral describes it as "partial 16S ribosomal RNA". It matches the Rfam family "Bacterial small subunit ribosomal RNA", at positions 509 to 807 of the family's 1533-position model. The record is from RNAcentral.